Nicotiana attenuata is the source of this 1075-nucleotide long non-coding RNA. RefSeq lists it as uncharacterized. The transcript is spliced from 5 exons. NCBI's taxonomy places the organism in Eukaryota, Viridiplantae, Streptophyta, Magnoliopsida, Solanales, Solanaceae. The record is from RefSeq and is a predicted model, not a curated record.
GUUAAUAAUGUUAAUAUCAUGCUGGAAUAUGUCGAAUAAUGCAGUGGUUCACCAAUCCAUGAAGGGUCUGAUAUGCUUAUAGAUAGUUUGGGAGGAGGGAAGCUAGAUCGUAUGUUGUGUCAAACAGCAUCCCAAAUAGCAUGCAAAGUGAUUGUUUUGGACUCAAUGAAGAACUGCCCGGCAAGUGCAUUAGUACGUGAUUAUGUGGUGAGAAGCUAUGAUGAUAGUGUCUCCGUUAAAGAAUUUGGGAAAAAGUUUGUUUUUGGUCAAAUAUAUGUUUGUUGUUUUGACUAUUCUGCAAGUUAAUUUGAAUGUUAAAGUUACAUGAGGAGUUCUAACGAAUGAGAUCGAGCGGGUUGAUGUCGCUACACUUGAGAAGCUUGAAUGUCAAGGUGUGGAUUGAACCUAAAGCCUCUACUAUUCGUGUAAUCUAGGAUAAAUAUCUUCAGAAGAUCCACUUUUCUCAACAUGCAAUUAUACAUCCAAGAUUAUGCAGAUUGAUAAUCUUGAAAGUGCUAAACGAGCAGGGGAUAUCUGUUUGGUUAUCCUCUGAUGAUAAAGAACAGGAGGCUGGCGUGUGAUGGGCGUGGCAAUGCUGUAGCUAACAGUGAGGAGGAGCUCUCUUCUGCAACUUAUGAUAAUACGUCUAUAAUUAUUUAAUGAUCAAGAUGUACAAAUUGACUCUUUUAGUGUCUACCACAGGUAUCAUGGUGUGCUACAGGGUUGGAAUAGUUUACUUAAGGUACAUAUAGCUGAUGCAAUCAACUAAAAGUUGCAACUUGAGGAGCUGACCAAUCAAAUUAAUGAAAAUUGGUUUCAUUGGCCUUAAUACUAUGAGAUCUGACAGAAUCAAGUCAAGAACUUGAAGUCCGAAGAACCUAUUCUUGAAGAAUGCGCAAAGCAAGUUGAAGUAUAAUAUGGUUUUUAUUCUGUUAGCAAUGGUUUAAAGAUGUUGUCAUUUGUACAUCGUGCUACAAUUCUGCUAUCUAUUUUUAGGAGUUAAUAAAAGUAGUAUCAUGCUAUAGACAGUGUGAUCCUUCCGUUCUUUGUAAUGACAAUGAAAUUUUAUUGAGUA